This 468-nucleotide ribosomal RNA is filed under the name uncultured bacterium. Its description in RNAcentral is "partial 16S ribosomal RNA". It matches the Rfam family "Bacterial small subunit ribosomal RNA", at positions 28 to 507 of the family's 1533-position model. The record is from RNAcentral.
GACGAACGCUGGCGGCGUGCUUAACACAUGCAAGUCGAACGGAAAGACCCUGCUUUUGUGGGGUGCUCGAGUGGCGAACGGGUGAGUAACACGUGAGUAACCUGCCCUUGACUUUGGGAUAACUUCAGGAAACUGGGGCUAAUACCGGAUAGGAGCUCCUGCUGCAUGGUGGGGGUUGGAAAGUUUCGGCGGUUGGGGAUGGACUCGCGGCUUAUCAGCUUGUUGGUGGGGUAGUGGCUUACCAAGGCUUUGACGGGUAGCCGGCCUGAGAGGGUGACCGGCCACAUUGGGACUGAGAUACGGCCCAGACUCCUACGGGAGGCAGCAGUGGGGAAUAUUGCACAAUGGGCGGAAGCCUGAUGCAGCAACGCCGCGUGCGGGAUGACGGCCUUCGGGUCGUAAACCGCUUUCGCCUGUGACGAAGCGUGAGUGACGGUAAUGGGUAAAGAAGCACCGGCUAACUACGUG